GAUGAACGCUGACAGAAUGCUUAACACAUGCAAGUCUUUGGCGAAGCUGUGCUUGCACAGCCUAGCCAAGGCGGACGGGUGAGUAACGCGUAAGGAACUUGCCCUGCAGUCAGGGAUAACAGACGGAAACGACUGAUAAGACCUGGUAAAGUCAGGCGGACUCAUGUCCAGCCUGAUGAAAAGAGAUGCUGCAGGAGAGCCUUGCGUCCUAUUGGCUUGUUGGUGGGGUAACGGCCCACCAAGGCGAUGAUAGGUAGCCGGCCUGAGAGGGUGGACGGCCACAAGGGGACUGAGAUACGGCCCUUACUCCUACGGGAGGCAGCAGUGGGGAAUAUUGGACAAUUGGGGCAACCCUGAUCCAGCAAUUCUGUGUGCACGAUGAAGGUUUUCGGAUUGUAAAGUGCUUUCAGCAGGGAAGAAAAAAAUGACGGUACCUGCAGAAGAAGCGACGGCUAAAUACGUG
RNAcentral lists this ribosomal RNA (463 nucleotides) under uncultured bacterium. RNAcentral describes it as "partial 16S ribosomal RNA". It matches the Rfam family "Bacterial small subunit ribosomal RNA", at positions 28 to 507 of the family's 1533-position model. The record is from RNAcentral.